UGGAGGGAACAAUACUAUAUAUGUGACUGACUUAUUACCACAAAAUCUAAGCGGGUUCUUUUUUUGACAAAAGCAAAGCAAACUCAACUCAUUUCAUUAAUAAGAAUAUCAUCAAUACAAGUGGAAGGAAAAUAAAAAAAACUGGUUACUAGCCCGAUAAUUGGCUGCCCUUGCUAAAGUAUGAGCAACUGAAUUCGCUUACUGACUACUCUACCACAAAGUUUGAACUAAUUGGCAGCCCUUGCUAAAGUUUGAACUGACAUUAAUAAGCACACUUGAUAUCACAAUUUCAAAAGAGCGAUGCUAAACGGUGCAAAUAGUAUUAAAUUUGCCGAACAAAGAAAACAACUUACAAUACAAAUGGCAGAGAGUAAAAUUGACAAUCUCAAACAAUGA
Molecule: long non-coding RNA, 396 nt
Filed under: Medicago truncatula (barrel medic)
Lineage: Eukaryota; Viridiplantae; Streptophyta; Magnoliopsida; Fabales; Fabaceae
Description: lncRNA gene27164
Source: RNAcentral